RNAcentral lists this ribosomal RNA (366 nucleotides) under uncultured bacterium. Its description in RNAcentral is "bacterial SSU rRNA". It matches the Rfam family "Bacterial small subunit ribosomal RNA", at positions 29 to 410 of the family's 1533-position model. The record is from RNAcentral.
AACGAACGCUGGCGGCAGGCCUAACACAUGCAAGUCGAACGCCGUAGCGAUACGGAGUGGCAAACGGGUGAGUAACGCGUGGGAACAUACCCCUCGUUCGGAAUAACUCAGGGAAACUUGAGCUAAUACCGGAUAAGUCCGAGGUUUUAAUCGACCUUGGAGAAAGAUUUAUCGCCGGAGGAUUGGCCCGCGUCUGAUUAGCUUGUUGGUGAGGUAAUGGCUCACCAAGGCGACGAUCAGUAGCUGGUCUGAGAGGAUGAUCAGCCACAUUGGGACUGAGACACGGCCCAAACUCCUAGGGAGGCAGCAGUGGGGAAUAUUGGACAAUGGGCGAAAGCCUGAUCCAGCCAUGCCGCGUGAGUGAUG